Dermochelys coriacea (leatherback sea turtle) is the source of this 933-nucleotide long non-coding RNA. RefSeq lists it as uncharacterized. The transcript has 3 exons. Lineage: Eukaryota; Metazoa; Chordata; Testudines; Dermochelyidae. The record is from RefSeq and is a predicted model, not a curated record.
UAUUUAUUGAUAAUACCAAAUAAAUAUCUAUAGAAAAAGCCUUCUCCAGUGCGGAAGCAUGGUGAAAUGAGAAAGAAUAUUAGGUAAUUGGAAAAUUACCCAGCUAUUUGAUGGACUAAUCUUUUCCGAAAGAGGAAAUUCUUGACGUGAGAAUUCUGGCUGGGGCUGUGAAAUAACGUGCGAAUCAAAAUCUGGAGAAAAAAAAAUCAGCAACCACGAAGACCAAAAAGACAGAGGACAUACUUGGUAGAGAAGUCUGAAUCCAAAACCGCUUAACUGCUGUCACAGUCUCUCACUAAAUGUCAACUCAGCACCUUCUGCUGCUCUUAUCAUUGACAUCUGCAGAUUCUGAGACGGGUGACAAUAGAACAGCAAGUGACAAACCAAGUACCAUGGGACAAGAAGAAAGGGCACAUUACCCACAGGCAAGUUGGAGAGUUUUUCCAGAUGGGAUUUCACUGGUCUAUAAUAAAUGUUCCAGUCGUAAAAGGAGAGAGUCUCCGUGCUUAAAGAAACACAGGAAUAAAUAGUGACCUAAGCAAAAAGAGAAAGAAAAACAUAGCUCUUUGGUGCAAAUUAAAAAAAAAUACUGCAUGUAACACACCGUUGCUCCUCCUUAGCUAGGUGGCAUGAACAGACUCUGCUUCUAGAAAACUGGUUGUUGCAUAGGUGUGCGUCCACAUAGUGGCAGCUAUUUGAAUCCUGUUUUAUUUUUUAAAAAAUUAAUUAAAUGUUCUGACUUGAGAUCCUGAAGCCUUCUGUCUUCGGAGAAGGUACUUUAUGAGAACAGCACAGCCCUCACUUCCCACCGCAGCCUGCUAAUAGGCUCAACCCUGAAUUGGAGGGGCCAUUUCAAGGCUCCAGAGUCAGAGCUGGUUGGAAAAUGGCAAUUAUUUUUCCACAAGAAAUUUCCAUUUUUUAAAAAUUUUGUCC